CAAGAGCACCACCUGGCUGCACCCCGUCACCGGCGAGGCGGUGGUCACCGGACACCGGCGGCAGAGCACAGAUUUGCCUACUGGCUGGGAAGAAGCAUAUACUUUUGAAGGUGCAAGAUACUAUAUAAAUCCCAGAUACCUCUAAUCAUAAGUCUUCAUAGAUCAAUAGAAGAGAAAUAAUGAAUAGAAGAUCUAUUAAAGAAAAGUGUGGAGAAAUACUGGGAAAAUGAAAGAAGAAUACAGAAAGAAAAAUUACCAAUGGCAAGGGUCUCUUUGCCAGGUUUCUAGGUAUUAAGCAUAUACCUAUAUAUCUUAUUCAUUUCCAAAUCAUUAAAUUUAUCUACUCAUUUAACUUAACAUCUACCCAUUAAGGAACACUUAUUUCCUUAGUUUUGAUGAAUCUCAGUAGUGCUUAAAGAUCCUAAGUAGUGGUAGAUGAAAAUGGGAUUUGUGGUCAAGUACGUUUGGGGAAUAAUAGACCAUAAAGGAUUGUUCAUAGCAGAACUUCUUGCCCUUUAAUAUCUUAUUCAGAACCUUACCCUGGAACUUAAUUUUUUCUGGCAUAUGGUUUACUUUUAAAAGGAAAAACUGUAAUAC
This 597-nucleotide small RNA is filed under the name Pan troglodytes (chimpanzee). RNAcentral describes it as "processed transcript". The record is from RNAcentral. Lineage: Eukaryota; Metazoa; Chordata; Mammalia; Primates; Hominidae.